AUGAAAAAUUGCAAUAAGUCCAUCAUAUGUUUUUUUUUUUGUUUUUUUUUUUUUGUUGUCUUUCUUCGUUCGUUCAUAAUAUGUAAGUUCAUAAUAUGCAGGCAGGUCUGUGGUCUUUUUGUCUUCUACCGUCUCCUCUCUGCUCUGUCUACGAUAUGUCCCCCCCCCCAUAUUUCCGCAUCCCUCCAGCAAAUUAUCUCUCACAAUGCUAGUCACUGUUUGAAGCUUGAAAAGGACCAUUCAAAUGCCCUUGAAUACCAAGUUCAGUGUCUCUCUUCACCUGCAGAAAAUCCUGCUCAAGAGUUCUCAAAAUUGGAGGACUCGCCACGUAUUUUGGAUGUAUUUGGCAGUCCUAUCGACUCUCAGUCCAUAACCACUGAGCAUUCGAUUGCCGUUGCAGAAAAUCCUUUUAACCGUUUGGCUACGAGUUUUUUGGAUUUGUCAGAAGAGCAAGAAAAGACUACGUCAUCAGCACACACUCAGGGAGAAGACACUUUGAUGAAAAAAACAUUUGUUGAGCAAAUGAUCUCUCGCAAUACCAGCUUGAAGCUUGAGCUUGACUAUGCUGUUCCAAGUCCCUCUCCUCCUGCUGAAAAUCCUCCUCAAGAGUUGUCCAAGUUAAAAGACUCACCAUGUACUGUGGAUGUUUUUGAUAGACCAAUUGACUCUCAGUCCAUAGCCACAGAUCAUUUGAUUUACAGAACAGAAAAACCUUUCAACCGUUUCGCUACGAGUUUUCCAGAUUUGUCAGAAGAGCAAGAAAACACUACUUCAUCAGCCGACACUCAGCAUGUGAUGGAUAUAGAAAAAAAUCAUUUUACGCUUUUGACUAAAAGUGUUCUGGAUUUUUCGGAGGAGCAAGAAAGGUCGUCUUCAAAACCCAAAAGACAGGGUUUGAUGCGCACUGACGUUAGUGCUUUUCAUGACAUACCCAGGGGUAUUGUAUAUGCGUCAUCGCCCAAACCAGUCGAUCUCUUUGAUGCAAAGUCUUUGGGUUUUUCCAUAUUUCAACUCUCACCAAGCCCCUCACAAACGUUUUCACAAAAUGGAGGUCGUAUAUCUGGUCCAAGUAAAUGGCGUGACAGCAAAAGGUUUUCACAAGCAUUAGGGAAUACCUCUGAGACUGAUUCUUUCUCCUGUUCGCCGAGCAUGCCCUUCCACCUCGUCCUGGACGAGAGUUCAAAGGAGGAAUCACACCUCGUCCUGGAGAAGAGUUCAAAGGAGGCAAUAAUGGAUGAGUUUCAAGGUAAGGCAUAGUCUCAGAAUACUCAAUUCCUCUUGUGCAUUUGAGCCAUUUUAUACAUAUGCGCAUAUGGAGAACCAGAGGAGAUUCGAUAACACAAGCGAGCAACAUGCUCUUCCUCUGAUUCUGCAGUACAUGGGUAUUUUUAAUUCUUAUAUAAUAUUCAGUAAGAUGAUGUCUGGUCAUCCUCUAGACAUAAUGGCACCAAGACUGACGUUUUGGGGUUCAGGAGAGAGAUAAUUCAUAGCCUUAUUGCAGCGGCCAUUCGGAGUUCAGCUUAAAUUCAAACGGCUGGGGAAUAUUUAUGAUCUGAAGUUUGAUAGGAGUUCUGGCCAUUACCUUCACACACAUUCCAUUUAUUCAGGAGAGAGAUCAUUCAUAGCCUUAUGGCAGCGGCCAUUCGGAGGUCAGCUUAAAUUCAAACGGCUGGGGAAUAUUUAUGAUCUGAAGUUUGAUAGGAGUUCUGGUCAUUACCUUCACACACAUUCCAUUUAAGCUGGACUCCUGCUUCCAGCAAGACUUUCAGAUACCAGUAUAUAAUUAUUUGUACAUUUCAGAAUCCCUUAAGUUAAAUAGAAUAAUAGAUGAAUCUAUUCUACUGAAUAAAGAUUAUUUGGAAGGCCAAUCUGUUUUUGGGAAGAGGAGUGUUUUUAUUUCUUGGACUGGUAACCUUGAAAUACAGUCAAGAGAUAUUAGGUCAUUUAAAAUGCA
Eptatretus burgeri (inshore hagfish) is the source of this 1954-nucleotide long non-coding RNA. The record is from Ensembl. Lineage: Eukaryota; Metazoa; Chordata; Myxini; Myxiniformes; Myxinidae.